GACGAACGCUGGCGGCGUGCUUAACACAUGCAAGUCGAACGGUAAGGCUCCAGCUUGCUGGGGUACACGAGUGGCGAACGGGUGAGUAACACGUGGGUGACCUGCCCUGCACUUCGGGAUAAGCCUGGGAAACUGGGUCUAAUACCGGAUAGGACUGCACCGUGAGGGUGUGGUGGAAAGUUUUUUCGGUGUGGGAUGGGCCCGCGGCCUAUCAGCUUGUUGGUGGGGUAAUGGCCUACCAAGGCGGCGACGGGUAGCCGGCCUGAGAGGGUGGACGGCCACAUUGGGACUGAGACACGGCCCAGACUCCUACGGGAGGCAGCAGUGGGGAAUAUUGCACAAUGGGCGGAAGCCUGAUGCAGCGACGCCGCGUGGGGGAUGACGGCCUUCGGGUUGUAAACUCCUUUCACCAUCGACGAAGGGUUUCUGACGGUAGAUGGAGAAGAAGCACCGGCUAACUACGUG
RNAcentral lists this ribosomal RNA (465 nucleotides) under uncultured bacterium. Its description in RNAcentral is "partial 16S ribosomal RNA". It matches the Rfam family "Bacterial small subunit ribosomal RNA", at positions 28 to 507 of the family's 1533-position model. The record is from RNAcentral.